AAGCACCUCGUCCAACGUGAGCGGACACUCUCCUGACACAGAGAUGAAAGCUACAUACACACAAAUGAGCACGGGAUUCAGAGAAUUCAGAGAGAUGAUCCUGCUUUCAUUUGCUAACACAAGCACCAGAUUAUCACCAGAUCAGCCGAGUUCAUGUGUCUACCUGCAAUCAAAUUAAGCUGUAAAUGUAAUCUUAUUUGUGUACACUGCUUAGCAAAUCUACCUCCUAAAUAUAAACAUGGUAUAAAUACUGGAUGUACUGUUACAGCAUUUACACUGCUCAGCCAUGACGUUAAAACCACAGACGUAAUAUUAUAUGUGUAGGUUUCCUUGUGCUACCAAAAGAGCUUUGAGUUAUGAACUCCACAAAAGAUCCUUUAAGUGGUGUAAGAUCCCACAGAUGCUCCAUCAGAAGUCAACACCUGGAGCUCUUGGUCAUGUUCCUCAAGCGGUUCCUGGACAAUGUUUACAGCGUGUCAGUGAGCAUCAUCCUGCUGAAAGAGGACACUGCUGCUAUUGAAGAGGUGAACUGGGUCUGGAACAGUGUCAAAGUCACAUCCACAUUAAUGCAGGACCCAAGGUUUGCCAGCAGAACAUUGCCCAGAGCAUCGCACCACCUCCUCCGGCUCACCUUCUUCCCAAAGUGCAUCCUGGUGCCGUCUCGUCCUCAGACCCUUUGACAGGCUACAUGUUCUUCACUUCACCUCUCAGUGGUUUUAACGUUAUGGCUGGUGUAGAAACAAUAAGAUACAGUUGCCUCUGAACUUCAUGGAAAGUUUAACAGCAUCUGCUGAUUCUUACCUUCUCUCUCGAUCUCGAACACACUGAUGGCGUCCUGUGGUGUGAGGUUGCGGAACUCGCUGGCGGGAAGCGUGUGGCGUCUCUGGCGUACAGGACUCGGCACACUCAGUGGCAUCUUUAGCCCUGCCUCUGUCACCGUGCCCUCUCCCGACCCUGCUCCUGAUCCCGUUAAGAACUCCUCUAAAGAGGAACGGAUAGACACGAGCACACGUGAGUCUUAAGAGCUGUGGGUGUCAGGUGAGCUGUGUUUCUCAGAGCUAAUGCAGCUGAACGGUUUGGGUAACACGAUUAACCUCAAAACGAGACGUCCAGGCAAAGCAUUUUGGCAGAUGUCCUUAUCCAGAGCAGCUUGCAUUUGCUCAGGGACUCAAGACUGGCAGAUUGGUGUACCUGGGAUUCAAACUCAUGACCUUCCAAUCAGACCAACAGCUUCCCCACUGAGCUACCACU
Long non-coding RNA from Tachysurus fulvidraco (yellow catfish), 1251 nucleotides. RefSeq lists it as uncharacterized. Lineage: Eukaryota; Metazoa; Chordata; Actinopteri; Siluriformes; Bagridae. The record is from RefSeq and is a predicted model, not a curated record. The transcript has 5 exons.